GGCUGGAGUGAAGGUAGUGAGUUAUUUCAAUUGAUUGUUCACGGUCAAUUACAGAUUGAACUCCUUUUUCUACUCUUUCGCCUACUGAACUUGACUAGUCCAAA
Molecule: non-coding RNA, 104 nt
Filed under: Nomascus leucogenys (northern white-cheeked gibbon)
Lineage: Eukaryota; Metazoa; Chordata; Mammalia; Primates; Hylobatidae
Source: RNAcentral